Non-coding RNA from Otolemur garnettii (small-eared galago), 284 nucleotides. The record is from Rfam. NCBI's taxonomy places the organism in Eukaryota, Metazoa, Chordata, Mammalia, Primates, Galagidae.
UCCAGGCGUUGUGGCGAGUGCCUGUAGUCCCAGGUACUCGGGGGGCUGAGGCAAGAGAAUCACUUGAACCCAAGAGUUUGAGGUUGCUGUGAGCUGUGAUGCCACAGCACUCUACCAAGGGCAACAUAGUGAGACUGUCUCAAAAAAAAAAAAAAAGAGAGAGAGAAUAUUUUCUUUCUUUUUUUGAAACAAGAGUGUCACUAUGUUGCCCUGGGUAGAGUGCUAUGGCAUCACAGCUCACAGCAACCUCCAAGUCUUAGGCUUAAGUGAUUUUCUUGCCUCAG